This is an RNA transcript of Prosopis cineraria, 703 nucleotides long. It is a transcript of the gene named calcium/calmodulin-regulated receptor-like kinase 2, with no coding region annotated. The transcript has 4 exons. The record is from RefSeq and is a predicted model, not a curated record. NCBI's taxonomy places the organism in Eukaryota, Viridiplantae, Streptophyta, Magnoliopsida, Fabales, Fabaceae.
ACUUUCUAACAUGUCAUAGUUGCUCAUUCUUUGUGAUAACUUCAACGUAACAAUCAGGGAAAAAAAAAAUUAUUGUGACUGUGGAUGCUAGCGUUUUAGUUUGAAUCAUCUAUGAUUAUAUAUCUAAACUAUUUUCCAAAUUGUGAUUGUGUAGGUUGCUGAUUUUGGGCUGUCAAAGGAAGUGAUCUUUGAUGGCCGGAAUUCAGGCCUUAAAGGUACAUACGGCUACAUGGACCCAGCAUACAUUUCCACAAACAAGUUCACAAUGAAGAGUGACAUCUACAGUUUUGGUAUAAUCAUUUUUGAGCUCAUUACAGCCAUCCACCCGCAUCAAAAUUUGAUGGAAUAUAUUAACCUUGCUGCUAUGGAUCAUGAUGGCGUGGAUGAGAUACUUGACAAACAACUUGUAGGAAAAUGCAACCCUGAAGAAGCAGUAACUUUUCCAGAGCUUUGAGUCGAAUAGAGGAUCAACAAGUUGAAUUAAAUAGGAGAGCAGAGAACCAAGCACGUUAUUUUCAACAGGAUAAUUGAUGAUGAUUAUAUCAGUUUUAAAAUUCUUUGAAGUAAACCAUCAUCUGCCUUCCAUGCUGACAAAAAUCUACGUCUUUGGAGGAAAAUAGGAUUACGGAGAGGGCCACCGAGCAACGCAGGAAUGUAGUAAAAUGAAACACCAAAACCCCCCCCCCAAAAAAAAUUGUGUAAA